CUUCAGCGAGCCCAGCCACAGCGGUGCGCCGGCCGGCCGGCCCUGGCCGUAGGUCGCCAGCAGCGCCUGGGCCUC
RNAcentral lists this antisense RNA (75 nucleotides) under Pseudofrankia inefficax. RNAcentral describes it as "Frankia sp. EuI1c ASpks TB sRNA". It matches the Rfam family "ASpks TB sRNA". The record is from Rfam by way of RNAcentral. Lineage: Bacteria; Bacillati; Actinomycetota; Actinomycetes; Frankiales; Frankiaceae.